Molecule: ribosomal RNA, 313 nt
Filed under: uncultured Paracercomonas
Lineage: Eukaryota; Cercozoa; Cercomonadida; Cercomonadidae
Description: SSU rRNA
Rfam family: Eukaryotic small subunit ribosomal RNA (bases 95-313)
Source: RNAcentral
AACUUCUGGUAUGGUGCGCCUGGCCUGCAGCCGAAAGGUUCGCAUGUGUUGGUGUGCGUCUGCCAUCUUUAUGGGGGAGCCGCUCUUUACUGGGCGGAAGAACCAUAUCUUUUACUUUGAAAAAAUUAGAGUGUUUAAAGCAGGCUUGUGCUAUGAAUACAUUAGCAUGGAAUAAUAAUUUAGGACUUUGUUCCUAUUUUGUUGGUUUCUAGGAAUGGAGUAAUGAUUGAUAGGGAUAGUUGGGGGUGCUAGUAUUCAUCGGCCAGAGGUGAAAUUCUUGGAUUCGAUGAAGACUAACUUAUGCGAAAGCAUU